GCGGUGGUAGUUCAGUGGUAAAACAGAUGCUUCCCAAGCAUCAGUCCCGGGUUCGAUUCCCGGUCGUCGCA
This 71-nucleotide transfer RNA is filed under the name Coemansia guatemalensis. It matches the Rfam family "tRNA". Rfam says of the family: Transfer RNA (tRNA) molecules are approximately 80 nucleotides in length. Their secondary structure includes four short double-helical elements and three loops (D, anti-codon, and T loops). Lineage: Eukaryota; Fungi; Kickxellomycota; Kickxellomycetes; Kickxellales; Kickxellaceae. The record is from Rfam by way of RNAcentral.